This 662-nucleotide ribosomal RNA is filed under the name Acidithiobacillus thiooxidans. Its description in RNAcentral is "bacterial SSU rRNA". It matches the Rfam family "Bacterial small subunit ribosomal RNA", at positions 60 to 719 of the family's 1533-position model. Lineage: Bacteria; Pseudomonadati; Pseudomonadota; Acidithiobacillia; Acidithiobacillales; Acidithiobacillaceae. The record is from RNAcentral.
AGUCGAACGGUAACAGGUCUUCGGAUGCUGACGAGUGGCGGACGGGUGAGUAACGCGUAGGAAUCUGUCUUUGAGUGGGGGACAACCCAGGGAAACUUGGGCUAAUACCGCAUAAGCCCUGAGGGGGAAAGCGGGGGAUCUUCGGACCUCGCGCUGGAAGAGGAGCCUACGUCUGAUUAGCUAGUUGGUAGGGUAAAGGCCUACCAAGGCGACGAUCGGUAGCUGGUCUGAGAGGACGACCAGCCACACUGGGACUGAGACACGGCCCAGACUCCUACGGGAGGCAGCAGUGGGGAAUUUUUCGCAAUGGGGGCAACCCUGACGAAGCAAUGCCGCGUGAAUGAAGAAGGCCUUCGGGUUGUAAAGUUCUUUCGUGGAGGACGAAAAGGUAGGUGCUAAUAUCGCCUGCUGUUGACGUGAAUCCAAGAAGAAGCACCGGCUAACUCCGUGCCAGCAGCCGCGGUAAUACGGGGGGUGCAAGCGUUAAUCGGAAUCACUGGGCGUAAAGGGUGCGUAGGCGGUGCAUUAGGUCUGUCGUGAAAUCCCCGGGCUCAACCUGGGAAUGGCGGUGGAAACCGGUGUACUAGAGUAUGGGAGAGGGUGGUGGAAUUCCAGGUGUAGCGGUGAAAUGCGUAGAGAUCUGGAGGAACAUCAGUGGCGAA